This 694-nucleotide long non-coding RNA is filed under the name Monodelphis domestica (gray short-tailed opossum). RNAcentral describes it as "lncRNA (ENSMODG00000041182.1)". The record is from RNAcentral. Lineage: Eukaryota; Metazoa; Chordata; Mammalia; Didelphimorphia; Didelphidae.
GGGGUGACUGUCAGUUGGUCAGGUGGUCAGUUGUUGACAGUUAGGUGCUGGCAAUUUGUUGGGUAGGUGGUUGGCGUUUAGUUGCUGGAAUAUAAAAGAUGAGUGUGCACAAAGACACUUGUGCGUGAAGGAGAUUUAAGUGGAAAAGUCAAUGCACAGAGACAGUCCCACUCUCUCGGCAUUGGAAGCCUGGGUCCAGUGGCCCAAAAAGUCGUUACACCUGGAGACUUCCUCAGCUGCAUUGGAUGGUCAUGUUGUCCUUUAUGCUCCAACACACCCUAAGCACUCCACAGUGCCUUGUUGCAUCGCCAUCUCAGCCGUUGAACCUUCUUGUUGGUUUCUUCUGCCUGUUCCGCGGAAGCAGUCUUCACAUGCUGGAUUUCUCCAUCUGUGCUUCAUGUCUUUUCACCCUAGAAAGAUGUCUCUAAUCCUUAGUGAAGUGAUCUCACUGCCAGAAAUUUCAUUGCAGAAAGUUUUCAAGACACCAAGCUCACUCUUCUCUGGUUCUGCACCUAACUUGGGAAUUUUCCACCUCACUUUAGAGUUUCUUUUAAUGUAACAUCUUCCCUCCUUAUGAUGGAAGCUCCUUGAAGGUACAAACUUCUUUUUAUGCAUUGGUAUUCUCAUUGCUUAGCACAAACCUUGGAAUAUUAGAAAAAAUAAAUUCUCUAUCUAUAAAUUGAUUGAUAAAUCU